CAGCCGCCGCGGUAAUACGGAGGGAGCUAGCGUUGUUCGGAAUUACUGGGCGUAAAGCGCGCGUAGGCGGUUACUCAAGUCAGAGGUGAAAGCCCGGGGCUCAACCCCGGAACUGCCUUUGAAACUAGGUGACUAGAAUCUUGGAGAGGUCAGUGGAAUUCCGAGUGUAGAGGUGAAAUUCGUAGAUAUUCGGAAGAACACCAGUGGCGAAGGCGACUGACUGGACAAGUAUUGACGCUGAGGUGCGAAAGCGUGGGGAGCAAACAGGAUUAGAUACCCCCGUAGUCCCUGUCUCUUAUAA
This 301-nucleotide ribosomal RNA is filed under the name uncultured bacterium. Its description in RNAcentral is "partial 16S ribosomal RNA". It matches the Rfam family "Bacterial small subunit ribosomal RNA", at positions 509 to 809 of the family's 1533-position model. The record is from RNAcentral.